GGCCCAAAUUUGAAAUAGAGUGGAGUAGGAGGAUCAUCUGACCCUACUAAACUACACUACUUCGAGUUUGUGCCC
Non-coding RNA from Haemonchus contortus (barber pole worm), 75 nucleotides. NCBI's taxonomy places the organism in Eukaryota, Metazoa, Nematoda, Chromadorea, Rhabditida, Trichostrongylidae. The record is from Rfam.